AAUGAACGCUGGCGGCAGGCCUAACACAUGCAAGUCGAGCGGAUGAAUGGGGCUUUCGCUUGGAUUCCGUUGCGGACGGGUGGGUAAUGCACACGAAGCUGCCUGGUAGAUGGGGCUAACGUCAGGUAACGGGCGCUGAUACCGCAUACGUCCAGAUGGAGAACCUGGGGGUUCUUCGGACCUCACGCUAUCAGCUGUGACUAGGUCGGAUUAGCUAGUUGGUGGGGUAAAGGCGUACCAAGGCGACGAUGCGUAGCUGGUCUGAGAGGGUGAUCAGGCACACUGGAACUGAGACACGGUCCAGACUCCUACGGGAGGCAGCAGUGGGGAAUAUUGGGCAAUGGGCGAAAGCCUGAUCCAGCAAUGCCGCGUGUGUGAAGAAGGUCUUCGGAUUGUAAAGCUCUGUAAGUAGGGAGGAAGGAAAGUGUGUGUAUACCUGGCUGUUUUGACGGUACCUACAGAAUAAGCCCCGGCUAACUUCGUG
RNAcentral lists this ribosomal RNA (484 nucleotides) under uncultured bacterium. RNAcentral's name for it is "partial 16S ribosomal RNA". It matches the Rfam family "Bacterial small subunit ribosomal RNA", at positions 29 to 507 of the family's 1533-position model. The record is from RNAcentral.